UACGUAGGGAGCAAGCGUUAUCCGGAUUUAUUGGGUGUAGAGGGUGCGUAGACGGGAAAACAAGUUAGUUGUGAAAUCCCUCGGCUUAACUGAGGAACUGCAACUAAAACUAUUUUUCUUGAGUGCUGGAGAGGAAAGUGGAAUUCCUAGUGUAGCGGUGAAAUGCGUAGAUAUUAGGAGGAACACCAGUGGCGAAGGCGACUUUCUGGACAGUAACUGACGUUGAGGCACGAAAGUGUGGGGAGCAAACAGG
RNAcentral lists this ribosomal RNA (253 nucleotides) under uncultured bacterium. Its description in RNAcentral is "partial 16S ribosomal RNA". It matches the Rfam family "Bacterial small subunit ribosomal RNA", at positions 524 to 776 of the family's 1533-position model. The record is from RNAcentral.